Molecule: ribosomal RNA, 478 nt
Filed under: Escherichia coli
Lineage: Bacteria; Pseudomonadati; Pseudomonadota; Gammaproteobacteria; Enterobacterales; Enterobacteriaceae
Description: partial 23S ribosomal RNA
Rfam family: Bacterial large subunit ribosomal RNA
Source: RNAcentral
GACAGCCAGGAUGUUGGCUUAGAAGCAGCCAUCAUUUAAAGAAAGCGUAAUAGCUCACUGGUCGAGUCGGCCUGCGCGGAAGAUGUAACGGGGCUAAACCAUGCACCGAAGCUGCGGCAGCGACACUAUGUGUUGUUGGGUAGGGGAGCGUUCUGUAAGCCUGUGAAGGUGGCCUGUGAGGGUUGCUGGAGGUAUCAGAAGUGCGAAUGCUGACAUAAGUAACGAUAAAGCGGGUGAAAAGCCCGCUCGCCGGAAGACCAAGGGUUCCUGUCCAACGUUAAUCGGGGCAGGGUGAGUCGACCCCUAAGGCGAGGCCGAAAGGCGUAGUCGAUGGGAAACAGGUUAAUAUUCCUGUACUUGGUGUUACUGCGAAGGGGGGACGGAGAAGGCUAUGUUGGCCGGGCGACGGUUGUCCCGGUUUAAGCGUGUAGGCUGGUUUUCCAGGCAAAUCCGGAAAACCAAGGCUGAGGCGUGAUGA